CCUACGGGCGGCUGCAGUGGGGAAUCUUGCACAAUGGGCGAAAGCCUGAUGCAGCGACGCCGCGUGAGUGAAGAAGUAUUUCGGUAUGUAAAGCUCUAUCAGCAGGGAAGAAAAUGACGGUACCUGACUAAGAAGCCCCGGCUAACUACGUGCCAGCAGCCGCGGUAAUACGUAGGGGGCAAGCGUUAUCCGGAUUUACUGGGUGUAAAGGGAGCGUAGACGGACCGGCAAGUCUGAAGUGAAAUUCCAGGGCUCAACCCUGGGACUGCUUUGGAAACUGCAGAUCUUGAGUACCGGAGGGGUAAGCGGAAUUCCUAGUGUAGCGGUGAAAUGCGUAGAUAUUAGGAAGAACACCAGUGGCGAAGGCGGCUUACUGGACGGUAACUGACGUUGAGGCUCGAAAGCGUGGGUAGCAAACAGGAUUAGAUACCCGUGUAGUC
This 440-nucleotide ribosomal RNA is filed under the name uncultured Lachnospiraceae bacterium. RNAcentral's name for it is "bacterial SSU rRNA". It matches the Rfam family "Bacterial small subunit ribosomal RNA", at positions 338 to 795 of the family's 1533-position model. Lineage: Bacteria; Bacillati; Bacillota; Clostridia; Lachnospirales; Lachnospiraceae. The record is from RNAcentral.